AGCUCGUGUCGUGAGAGUGUUCGGGUUAAGUCCCGUAACGAGCGCAACCCUUGUCCUUAGUUACCAGCACGUUAUGGUGGCACUCUAAGGAGACUGCCGGUGACAAACCGGAGGAAGGUGGGGAGUGACGUCAAGUCAUCAUGGCCCUUACGGCCUGGGCUACACACGUGCUACAAUGGUCGGUACAAAGGGUUGCCAAGCCGCGAGGUGGAGCUAAUCCCAUAAAACCGAUCGUAGUCCGGAUCGCAGUCUGCAACUCGACUGCGUGAAGUCGGAAUCGCUAGUAAUCGUGAAUCAGAAUGUCACGGUGAAUACGUUCCCGGGCCUU
This 328-nucleotide ribosomal RNA is filed under the name uncultured Pseudomonas sp. RNAcentral describes it as "bacterial SSU rRNA". It matches the Rfam family "Bacterial small subunit ribosomal RNA", at positions 1057 to 1382 of the family's 1533-position model. The record is from RNAcentral. Lineage: Bacteria; Pseudomonadati; Pseudomonadota; Gammaproteobacteria; Pseudomonadales; Pseudomonadaceae.